Saimiri boliviensis boliviensis (Bolivian squirrel monkey) is the source of this 3085-nucleotide long non-coding RNA. RefSeq lists it as uncharacterized. Lineage: Eukaryota; Metazoa; Chordata; Mammalia; Primates; Cebidae. The record is from RefSeq and is a predicted model, not a curated record.
AGGCGGGUGGACAGUGAGUGAACAAGUUUUGGAAGGAUGAAUGUACAAGUGGGUGUUGGGUGGAUGGAGGACUAUAUGGAGAACUGAAGGAAGGGCUGGGUUGAUGGACAGAUGGGUAAGGGGGUGAGUGAGGGCUGGAUGGCCGAGGGAGGCAUGGCUGGAGGGGUUACUGGGUGAAUGAUGGGUGGCGGGUCUUCCAGAUGACAAUAACAGUAACGGCAGUAGCAAUGUCAGUAAAGUAUUACAGCCAUUAUUGUUAUGUCAUGACAGCAAACAGGACCAGCAAAGGACGCCGGGUGCCGAGUUCCCGCCGGCCUGCUCCCCGAACCUCCAGGGGUCCUCACCCUUCGGAGCAGGGCAGACCGGCCGCCCAGGCCCUCCGUCUGCAGAUCUGAGUCUAAGCCACUUCUCUCUCAGGAACAGGAGGGUGACCUUGCUUCUCCCGGAGCCUGGGCCCCGAGGAGCUAAGAACAGUGAAGGGACCCUGCCCCCCGCAGUGCGGCCAGCUGCUGCUGGCAUCUGUGGGAACGUGGCUGAGGCUUGCCAGCUGUUGGGGAGUGCAGGGGAGCCAGAGGCGGGGCAAGUUUCCAUCUCUACAUGUGCUGCGCCAGCACUCGGGGCUGCUGUCCUUGGGUCUCACCUGGAGUGGGGGAAGGCCUGCCACUGACUAGCAAGUGACUUUGAGAAGCGGCUCGUCCUUGCGUCUCUGUUUCCCAGAGAGGAAAGUGUCAGGGCCCUUGCUUCAGGAUGUAGGCUGCCUCCCUGUCCCCAAUCUAAUCCUGACCCCAGCCAGGGGACUUGAGCAUGGUGGCACGUGCCCCAGACCCCUGUCUACAUUUCCAGCUUUGCCGAGCGCAUGCUCCCCCGACCCCCGGGCACCCCCAUUUCCGUAUGAGGAGGCAGGAGUGGCUAAGAGCUCACAGCACCGCUCUGGGGUCUGCCACCCUGAGGACAGAGGCCAUCAGCCACUCCCAGCCUGUGACCUCAGUCAAGUCAUUUGCCUCCCAGACCGAUUUCCCCUAAAAUGGGGACGAUGGCCCAUCCUUGGGGCAUGGUGGCGUGGGAUGAGAUAUGCAUGUCAAGAUAUGAGAUAUGCAUAGUGAGAGCUUCUGAAGCACACAGUAGGCGCCUGGUGUGGCUGUUAGGCUUCCCCAUGGGGUGGGCUGCUGUGGCGACUUGUACAGUAGAUGGCCUCAGCAGAGCCAAGCUGGAGAGGAGAGGAAAUGGCCAAGUUCUCUGCAGCUCUGACGGUCCAAGGCCGGGGCCAGCAGGGAGACCUUUGGUGUGGACUGGAAGGGCCCCAAUUCUCAGAGCUGGGAGAAACAGUCUAAAAAUUGGCUGUCGGUUCAGGUGGGGAGCUCCCCAUUCCCAGGGGCAAUCAAAUAUAAUCUGGUCCUUGCUUUCCAGCAAUUCACACAUACGUGGGUCAGUGUUUUCCCUGAGAUUUCAUGAUGCUGUUUAUCUAGAUCCUCGCCAGCAGAAACACUCUCUAUAGACUUUGGGUGAAGAUCAGAUCUGACCCUGCCAGGCUCCUGCCACCGAUCUCCUGUGCCCCCAUUGCCCGGGUAGGUGAGGGAGGGGAGGAGGGAAAAUCCAACAGUGACAUCCCCAUGCACGCCACGUCGCGGCUGACACCAGCAGGUGGAUGAACGCGGACAGGUGGACUCAACCCGGACCGAGGGCUCAUCCCCAGGGGGCUGGAGAGGGUGAGGUGAGAGGCCGCGAUUGGAACAGCUCCAACCGAUGCACGUGCUGCCCAGAGCUCCUGUCAUGCAAGCAGCGGGCCACAAUCCUUGGGGUGUUCUUUGAUGACCCUGUGUCCUAGAGGAGCAGUCUGGGGUUAACAGAAGUCCGGUGACCUUCCCACAGUCAACUCCCAGCCACAGAACGGGACUCUGCGCCUAGCUGCAGAUACUGCUGUGUGGCAUCUGUGAGGGGUCACUGUCACACUCGCGGGCUGCUGCUGGCCUCGGGCACAGGUGGCCCCUGCUGCUCUGGGCAGGCCUCUUGGGUUCUGAGCUCUGCAGCCCUGGAGCGAUGCCUUCCCUUGAGGGCUCCCCGGCCAUCGCUCGCCUGCCCGUGGCUGUGCAGAGUGGGCGAAUCGCAGUGACUGUUUUCCCCUCCCGUGCACCAACGGGAAGGGGACACUCGGACGUCGGCUGUCCAGGCAUGUAGGGUCUGGUGCCCCUACCCUGCGAAUGUCGGAGCAGAUUUCCAGUGGUCAAGGUGGCCAUUUCCAGGCAGCCAAGCUACGGGCUCCCAGGCUCCCUUCACCGGACCCCCAUCCUAUAAAGUCCUCCUGAAGCCCAGCAGCCUCGGGGGGACUUAAGCACGGUCAGUAUGAUGAGGGCCAGUUCCUGCAUUCAGGUCUCAGCUCCAAAGCCUCCCAUGGUGACCAGGAGUAAGGGUUCUUCCACUCAGCAAGGACACAGCGGGUGGGGGCUGCAUUCCAGGAGCUGCUCCGGGCUGCUCACUGGGAGAGGCGGAGGCAGGGCGUGUCUGGGAGGUGUUUUUCUAGGUGACAUUUGUAACCCUGACCCUUCCUCUUCCCUGGUUCGUCUGUGGGCUGUCAAGGCCCCAGUCUCUCUCCUGAGCAUCAAACCCAUGCCACCAACUGCCCAGGCCCUCAGGCUGCGUGCAGGUCUGAGCUGGAACGCUGCGCCCCACGCCCAGAUCUCCACCGUCUGCUCAGAUGCUUCUCCUUGGCUCGCACGGGGCUCCAUGGUUCUACCACGUGAGUUCCUCCACUUCCAUCCGCUGCUACACUGUCAGCACCCCGGUGGCGUCUGGGCGCCAUCCUGCUCCCAGGCCCCCACCUGCGUACAAUCCGCCCGGCUCUGCCCUGCAGCCCUGCCGCGGGAUGGUCUGACCAAGGUGACAGGACACCAGCAUCAGCGAGGGGGGCCGCCAGAUCCUGAGACCACUCCUGCCAGUCCCUCCCACGUGAUGGGGCUGCUUCUGAGGGACGGACAGUCUUUGUCCAGGAGUCACUGGGGGUAGGGACGCCCCCAAGUUCACAGAUGCCCCUCGCCAACACUCCAAAGUAUGAAUGGAGGCCGGGUGCGGUGGCUCACGCCUAUAAUCC